UUUCCGUAGGUGAACCUGCGGAAGGAUCAUUAUUGUAUAACCGAGGUGCGAGGGCUGUCGCUGACCCGAAAGGUCGUGCACGCCCGAGUGCCCUCACACACAUCCAUCUCACCCCAAUGUGCACCACCGCGUGGGUCCCCCUUUGGCUUGUUCGGAGGGGGGCUUACGUUUUCACACAAACUUUGUAUGCAGUGUAGAAUGUAUUUUUUGUUUUUGCGAUCACGCAAUCAAUACAACUUUCAACAACGGAUCUCUUGGCUCUCGCAUCGAUGAAGAACACAGC
This 283-nucleotide unclassified non-coding RNA is filed under the name plant metagenome. RNAcentral's name for it is "partial contains small subunit ribosomal RNA, internal transcribed spacer 1, and 5.8S ribosomal RNA". The stretch from base 235 to 283 matches the Rfam family "5.8S ribosomal RNA", at positions 1 to 49 of the family's 154-position model. The record is from RNAcentral.